RNAcentral lists this long non-coding RNA (568 nucleotides) under Homo sapiens (human). RNAcentral describes it as "HSALNT0333534". The record is from RNAcentral. Lineage: Eukaryota; Metazoa; Chordata; Mammalia; Primates; Hominidae.
UCUGCAGUUUGUUGUAGAAUCAUAGUGUCUUGGCAACCAAAGGCAGAUCUGGUGCUAUGGAGGACCUGCUUACUGCUAUGAGGUGUUACUUUAUAGAGGUCCUGGAGAAGCUGAUUGAGGCCACGUCAAUGUUGCAAGGAGACAUGAGACUCACAUCAGAGUUCUAUGGCUUAACAUGGGGGAUGGUGGAAAAAUCUUGGAAUUGAAUUUAAAAGACAACUGGGAAGGCAUAAAUAAUAUAGUGAAAAGAAACAGAGAUCGUUGGAGAAAUGUCUGAUUAUAAGAUAUUUCUAAGCCUGGUGAAGAAAUAUAUAAGAGAAGCCUGGAGAAGAACCAGUAAUACCAGAAAUCAGGGAGGGGCCCUGAAGAGAAAAGGAUAACAAAAGGAUGAAGACCUGUCCAAGGGACCCAGCAGCUAACUUGAAAGAGCUCUCAAUGGGUAAAGCUGGAGCAAUUUCAACAACAAAAUAAAUAACAUAUCACUGGAUUAUAACCUGAAGUAUAAAACGUAUGAGUCCAUACUCUUAUAAAUAAAUGAUUGAAUAAAUACAUAAAUGAGAAGAAGGGA